UCCUAUGGGACUGUCCCUCUGUAGUAUGGU
RNAcentral lists this non-coding RNA (30 nucleotides) under Homo sapiens (human). The record is from RNAcentral. Lineage: Eukaryota; Metazoa; Chordata; Mammalia; Primates; Hominidae.